UACGGAGGGGGCUAGCGUUGUUCGGAAUUACUGGGCGUAAAGCGCGCGUAGGCGGCUGCCUAAGUCGGUUGUGAAAGCCCCGGGCUCAACCUGGGAACUGCACUCGAUACUGGGCGGCUAGAGUAUGAGAGAGGGAGGUAGAAUUCCACGUGUAGCGGUGAAAUGCGUAGAUAUGUGGAGGAAUACCGGUGGCGAAGGCGGCCUCCUGGGCCGGCAUUGACGCUGAGGAGCGAAAGCUAGGGGAGCAAACGGG
Molecule: ribosomal RNA, 253 nt
Filed under: uncultured bacterium
Lineage: Bacteria
Description: partial 16S ribosomal RNA
Rfam family: Bacterial small subunit ribosomal RNA
Source: RNAcentral